RNAcentral lists this long non-coding RNA (244 nucleotides) under Homo sapiens (human). Its description in RNAcentral is "non-protein coding lnc-ITIH6-1:1". The record is from RNAcentral. Lineage: Eukaryota; Metazoa; Chordata; Mammalia; Primates; Hominidae.
CUAUAUUUGAUGUCCAGUCUCCUCUACUUACACUUUCUGCUCUAGACUUGCCGACCUCAAGCCUCUCCUUCAAAGUGUGUCCUCUGUAACUACAAUCUCUUGAACUCCACCCCACUAAAAUCCCACCACCCUGAAGGCUAGACGUGAUGCCCAAUCUAUCCCAGAAAGGUGUGUUAAUCUCGCUCCUGGGAAUCCAACAAUUAGACGUGAGGCCCAAUCUAUCCCAGAAAGGUGUGUUAAUCUC